RNAcentral lists this ribosomal RNA (448 nucleotides) under uncultured bacterium. RNAcentral describes it as "SSU rRNA". It matches the Rfam family "Bacterial small subunit ribosomal RNA", at positions 26 to 518 of the family's 1533-position model. The record is from RNAcentral.
AGAGCGAACGCUGGCGGCAGGCCUAACACAUGCAAGUCGAGCGCCCGUAGCAAUACGGGAGCGGCAGACGGGAUAGUAACACGUGGGAACGCGCCCUUCGGUUCGGAAUAACUCAGGGAAACUUGAGCUAAUACCGGAUACGCCCUUACGGGGAAAGAUUUAUUGCCGAAGGAACGGCCCGCGUCCGAUUAGCUAGUUGGUGAGGUAAUGGCUCACCAAGGCGACGAUCGGUAGCUGGUCUGAGAGGAUGACCAGCAUCACUGGGACUGAGACACGGCCCAGACUCCUACGGGAGGCAGCAGUGGGGAAUAUUGGACAAUGGGCGCAAGCCUGAUCCAGCCAUGCCGCGUGGAUGAUGAAGGCCUUAGGGUUGUAAAGUCCUUCUAACGGGGAAGAUAAUGACGGUACCCGUAGAAUAAGCCCCGGCUAACUUCGUGCCAGCAGCCGC